AAAAUUUUUUCUUUUUGUGAGAGAAUAUCAUGAAAAAAGCAGGAGUCCCUCUAUUGAUUGACUGAGAGAAAUAUUUUGAAGAUAAGAUCCUGAAUGGAAAACAUGCAUAAGAAGAGGAAUGCUUUUGAGUUCACGUUGGAGAAGAGAAAACGAAGAGCUCAUGUUUCAUUUAUGCAUUGAUCUCUGCUGUUGCUGAGAAUGCAAUAGAAGGAGAAGGAACCUGUUGUUCAUUUAAUAAUCCUUCUGUAUCAGAAAGAGCUCCAGUGCUUCAAAAAUACCUGGAUAGUAAAGAAGACUUGGAACUUCAAGCUCUCUUUGGUCUCCAAGCUCUUCUCAGUAGGCUGGAAAACCCGAAAGGUUUGUUCAUUUGUAAGAGUUACAAACGUGUAGUGAUCUUUUAAAAUGUUUUCAGAAUAACAUAGAAAAUUUUGUUCAAGAAAUAUACAUGUUAGAAAAUAGCUACUUCAAAUAACCUGUUAUAUCAGUGACACAAAAUGAUGUACAUUAGAAGUUUCACAAGUGCUUAUGAUGAAAGAAUUUCGAUCCUAAAUUGAUAACAAGGUUUGACAUGUAAUUGAAUUCAGUAUAUUUAUGUGUGUGUGUGUGUGUAAUAUAUUUAUAUUGUAUUUGGUAUGUUGUUAUUAAAAUGUCAGAGCCAUUACUCAAGUUUCAUAAAAGCAAUAAUAGUCUACUUUUAGUUAUUCCUUAGUUUCCUCAGUCUUCUCAUAGAAUGUGUUAUGUUCCAAACUAUCUAAUAGGUUUUGAAUUCCUUUACUACUGCUGUUGUACUUCUGUUUCUAUCCUAGCAGUGUCUACCAUAUUUUUGGCUGAGUACAUCAUAUUUAAGUGUAACAGGUUUGGAUAUGGUUUAAAGUGAUCUGAAACCUUUCCAUUUCAGUAAUAUUCAUAAACCAGGCAUACAAUCUGCAAAUAUCUGAGAUCCUUCUACCUCUUGUUACUAUGUACAACUGCAUGUUGUUACAAGUAUGUACAAAAAAACAGUGACUAUUUGAAAAGUUUGUACUAUGUACAACUGCAUGUUGUUACAAGUAUGUACAAAAAACCAGUGACUGUUUGAACUAUAUUAAUUUUUUUCUAUUGUAUUAGACAAUGAAAAAUAUACAACACAGUUAUGACAUUUGGAAGUGAAGGAUGUUUUUAUCUUACAAACUAACGUUGGUUAAAAACCUUAACUAGUCUUCUAACACUCAACUGUGACUAUGCUGGCUUGUUAAUGUUUAUUAAAAAAUUAGAAAUCGGUGAAGAUUAAAUGUUAAUAAAACAACAAACUGAAAAGAUUGAAGUAAUCAAAAAAAAAAUUGGAAAAGUUUAUGGUUUAGUGAUUCUGCCAAAAGUUUUGUCUCUUAAGUUUCAGUACUAUAUUCAAAUUUUAGCUGCUGAAAAAGACAUUCUUUCAUCAUGUUCUUAAGAUUUUAUUUAAACACUGUCAUUAUCAACAUAGAACCGAAGUUUUGGAUUUUGCACAUAAAAUGUAAUUAUAAAGCAGUCUUGUUGCAUGAAAUAAAGCUAAAUUUGUACAUUAUGUUAAUUAACCUUCUAGAAUGUCUUAAUUUUAGUAACUUUGUUUUUACAUAAGAUCAUUCUACAAUAGAUCUGUGCACUGUUUUCCCCCAAGACUAAAUUUGAUGGUUUAUAUAUGUUAUUUUUUUCAAUGUUUAGAGAAAUGCAGAAACCCUACAUGCCUAUAUUGUAAUGUCUGCGUUUAUCACAUGAAAUCAUUGUUAAUCCUGUGUUUUAUUAAAGCUACUCUUUAACAUUCUGCUGGUUCCUGCAAGACCACAUUUGUUACAUGUUUAGUAAACCUGGCUUUCCAAAUAAAAGCAUUUUGAAGUGAAGAAGUGUUCAGAUGAGGCAUAUAAUAAACUGGAAACUGAGUACGGAACAGAAAGGAGAAGAAGAUGAUGCACUAAAGUUGGCCAUGUCCUUCUUCGUAUGUCUGGAAGAUGCAGACAAGGAGCCAGCUGAUCCUACUUAUCAUUUGUGUUAAGAUUAGGAUUAAACUUUGCAUUUUUAUGGGAAAUACUAUUUUUAUAUACUGUUCCUCAACUUACCAAAAUUAAAAAAUUUCAAGAACAUUGCUAAAAAAGUUCAUCAUUUUAAAAAAAUUUUCAGAAAACUGUAUCUAGAUGUUAUGUGUGUGUCUUUGUAGUAUGCAUUGAGAUUAUGCAUUUAAAUCAUUUAAUAGCAAUAGGUUGACUUGUAUUAUUUUUUAAUUUGCAUUCUAUCUACCCAUUUUACUUAAACUGGUGAGAAGAUAUGAAAGUCAAUACAAAUUAAAAUUAAUCAUCUUACAUUUCUGUGGAAUUUCGGGAAUUUUAACUUCAGAAAUGUGUGUUGAAUCACAAAAAUUAUUCAAUUAAGUUAAUUACUUGGUAAUUAUGUACGUUAGCUAGGAAUUGUUUAUUUAUGUUUGAUCUGUACAUAAAUUUGAUGGAUGUUGUAAUGUAUAGUGGGACUAAAACUGUGAAUGAAAAGAAAUUCUGCAGUAGGAAUAUGUUGUUUUGAUACAAUAAAAUUCUCUGCUUAACUGCACGCUUUCAGUUGAGUGUUGUUUGCAUUCAUACAAGUUGUAUUUUCUUAUAUCAAAUAUUAUGUUGACAGAUAUUGCACUGUCAAUAUUGUUAUGUAAUAUGAUAAUAUAUCUAAAGCAGCAAUAUAUCUUCCUUUGAUGAAGGAAUGUAUUUGUUUCAA
RNAcentral lists this long non-coding RNA (2712 nucleotides) under Limulus polyphemus (Atlantic horseshoe crab). RNAcentral describes it as "uncharacterized LOC111085604, transcript variant X1". Lineage: Eukaryota; Metazoa; Arthropoda; Merostomata; Xiphosura; Limulidae. The record is from RNAcentral.